RNAcentral lists this ribosomal RNA (378 nucleotides) under uncultured bacterium. Its description in RNAcentral is "partial 16S ribosomal RNA". It matches the Rfam family "Bacterial small subunit ribosomal RNA", at positions 338 to 733 of the family's 1533-position model. The record is from RNAcentral.
CCUACGGGAGGCAGCAGUAGGGAAUAUUGCUCAAUGGGGGAAACCCUGAAGCAGCAACGCCGCGUGGAGGAUGACGGUUUUCGGAUUGUUAAACCCUUUUGUCAGGGGAGCUAAUGACGGUAUCUAACGCAUAAGCACCGGCUCACUCCGGGCCAGCAGCCGCGGUAAUCCGGCGGGUGCAAGCGGUACUCGGCAUUACUGGGCGGAAAGGGCGCGUAGGGGGGAUAGCAAGUCAGGUGUGAAAUCCGAGGGGUGAACCAUAGAACUGCAUUUGAAACUGGGAGUCUUGAGUUGAAGAGAGGGAGGUGGAAUGCGUGGUGUAGGGGUGAAAUGCGUAGAGAUCACGAGGAACACUGAUUGCGAAGGCGGCCUGCUGGA